Long non-coding RNA from Herpailurus yagouaroundi (jaguarundi), 1507 nucleotides. RefSeq lists it as uncharacterized. NCBI's taxonomy places the organism in Eukaryota, Metazoa, Chordata, Mammalia, Carnivora, Felidae. The transcript has 3 exons. The record is from RefSeq and is a predicted model, not a curated record.
UGUCUGAGUCUUGACCACUCCCCUUGUCUACCCUAAAUUUUCAGAGGGUAGGAGGACUCAGGUGGGAGAGUCACAGCAUCAUUCACAAGUCCAGCACUGCUAAUUAGGGAGUCGGUAUUGAAACCGUGGGCUUUGGAGACAGCCCUGCCUGGGUUCAAAUCCCAGCGCUGCCUGGAAUUAGUUAUGUGAGUCUGGGACGCUCGCUUAACCUCUUUGAGUCUAUUUUCUCGCCUAUAAAGUGGGAAUCAUAAUGCAUAUUCCUAAGGAUUUCUGUGAAGGUUAGAGAAGAUAGGACGUGAAUUCUUGGACUCGAAAAUGACAAUAUCCCACAGAUUCCCACCAUUGAUUUAAAUUACUGAAAUGAGGACCUUUCUUAAAUAUCGAUAAAUACACUCUUUACAACUAUACGACCAAAGGCAAGAGUACAAGUCGAGAAAAACCAACAGAACUAAAGUUGGCUCUUGUGAUUAAUGCUGUUAUUUUGCUGAAAUUAAUUCGCCUUCUUGAAACACCAGUUUCUAGGACGGGGUUCUUUUGAGCCGGGCAUCCCGAACCCACCAUGUGCCGCGCGAUGGUUCAACUUGCCGACAACCUUUCUCGGGUCUGGACAUUGUAACCUGGAGGGCUGUAGGCUACGUGUGGCCCAUGGAUGGACGUGUUUCACCUGACCCUCAUAGGAUUCAUUUUUUUCCAAUUAGCUGCCGUUAUAAAAGAAUGAAGAUAUUACACCUAAAAUGCGCUGUUCCCGCUCCUCUUGAAAGGCUGGAAGAGCCAGCCCCGCAGGACUGCAGGGUCGGGGGGUGAAUGGCAGUCCCCUGUCACCUGAGCUGGGCUUCCCAACUCCAUUCUCCUGGCUCUUCCCAUGUGCGUAAGCUGCCAGCCUCUGUGGGAUUUGCUCUGGGACCUCUUCCUCUGUGACUUACACCCGUUCCUCAGCAGCCCGUGACGGCCAAACAGCAUUUCAAGACACCCCCAAAAGGCAAAAAGACACCUAAAUAGCACUCCAGUCUUCAACAGAGCUGGGUGCAGAAACAAACCACCAGUUCAUGCAGUGUGAGUUUUUAAGGGUAUUUACACAAGAGAAACGAAAACGAAUGCCCACGCAAGGACCAGUACACAAAUGUUCAGAGCAGUCCUAUUCAUAUGAGCUAAAAACUGGAAACAACACAAAUGUCCAUCAGUGGGUGAGUGGAUAAAUAGGGCAUAUCUAUGAAGCAGAACACUGCUAGCAAUAAAAAGGAACACGCUGCUGAUAUCCGUCAUUACACUGAGUCAAAGAAGCCAGAAGCAAAGGGUACAUAUUAUAUAAUGCCAUUUAUAUAAAAUUCUAGAAAACGUAAAUUAAUCUGUGUGGUGACAAGACAGAUCAGCAAUGUGGAGGAGGAGGAAAUUACCACAUGGGGCAUAAGGAGACUUUGGGGGGCAAUGGAAAUGUUCUAUGUCUUAAUCGUGGCUGUGAUUUCACACAUGUGUAUUCGUGUUAAAAGUCACCAAAGCGCACACUUUA